Long non-coding RNA from Arabidopsis lyrata subsp. lyrata, 856 nucleotides. RefSeq lists it as uncharacterized. Lineage: Eukaryota; Viridiplantae; Streptophyta; Magnoliopsida; Brassicales; Brassicaceae. The record is from RefSeq and is a predicted model, not a curated record. The transcript has 4 exons.
ACCCUAUAGAAAACAUAUCUCCAAAAAAAAAAACAUCCCAAAUCGAAGAAAGAGAUUUGGGAUUUCGUGUGAAGCUCGUCGCCGACCUCCACCGUGAAGCUCGUUGCCGGCCUCCACCGUAAAGCUCGUCGCCGGCCUCCACCCUAAUUUCUAUAUAUCUUCUCCAUCCUCUUUCUCUCCUUUACCUCUUCGCUUUCUUCCUCGAUUCUUCUUUUCUUCCUAGAUUAUUCCCUUCUCCUUAGCUCUCCUUUACCUCUUCACUCUCUUCAUACGAUUAUACAGCUCUGGAUAUAUUGGAUUUUGAUUUCGUUGGCCUGAAACCCCAAACCAGUUUCGACGCUCGGUGCUUCACCAUUCAAUUAAGUGUUCGACGAAUUGCCUCAUUAUUGGCUUGCUUGUUUCUUAACAUUAUUUGUCGUUCUGUGCUUAAGAUUCUACCUUUGAGGUCAUUAACAGGUAGAACAGUAGAGAAGAGGUCUGGUUUUUCUUUGGAAGGUCCUUAAGAUUUUAAUUAGUUGGUCUCGAGGAAACAUUAUUGCAAUCUCCACAAUUGUCCACCGUUGAGAAAAUCAGAGAUUGAGUACUACGCAAUGCUUGCUAAAGUUGGUGUUCACCAUUACAAUGGAAGUAAGUUCGUUUCUUCUUUAGCCCAUGUAGUUUUUAAGCUUCAUUGUCCCCUUCUUUGUAUUUAGGUUCCAUUGGGUAUAAUAACUGAGAAUGUAUUAUCCUAAGUAGAUGAAAGUGUAAUAAUCUGCUUAUAUGGACCAUUAAGCUGAUUAUGAAAGUAUGAUUCUAAGUAGAGUAGACUGUUAUGUUUAAUUGACAUAAAGUGUUGAUCUUUCGCAAGAUCAGGAAC